AAAAACUUAGGAUAAGUAAACCCCAAGCCUUCAAAGCUUAUUAUAGAAGUUAGAUUCUUCUAGUUUUUG
RNAcentral lists this transfer RNA (69 nucleotides) under Craugastor daryi (Ford's robber frog). RNAcentral describes it as "tRNA-Trp". It matches the Rfam family "tRNA". Rfam says of the family: Transfer RNA (tRNA) molecules are approximately 80 nucleotides in length. Their secondary structure includes four short double-helical elements and three loops (D, anti-codon, and T loops). Lineage: Eukaryota; Metazoa; Chordata; Amphibia; Anura; Craugastoridae. The record is from RNAcentral.